AAACAAGAAGCAAAAUUUGCAUUUAAUUUCGACCUAAAAAUCUGAUGACUUUCAUCCUUGUUUU
Molecule: transfer RNA, 64 nt
Filed under: Sceleocantha glabricollis
Lineage: Eukaryota; Metazoa; Arthropoda; Insecta; Coleoptera; Cerambycidae
Description: tRNA-Arg
Source: RNAcentral